Molecule: ribosomal RNA, 796 nt
Filed under: Bacteriovorax stolpii
Lineage: Bacteria; Pseudomonadati; Bdellovibrionota; Bacteriovoracia; Bacteriovoracales; Bacteriovoracaceae
Also listed under: 1 other name
Description: bacterial SSU rRNA
Rfam family: Bacterial small subunit ribosomal RNA
Source: RNAcentral
CAGUCGAACGAGAAAGUCCUUCGGGAUGAGUACAGUGGCGCACGGGUGAGUAACACGUAGGUGACCUGCCUAUUAGCGGGGGAUAACACGAAGAAAUUCGUGCUAAUACCGCAUACGCAAAGUGAAUUUGGAAGUAGCUUUGGAAAGAAUGCCUCUCCUUAAAGGCAUUUACUAAUAGAUGGGCCUGCGUAGCAUUAGCUUGAUGGUGGGGUAACGGCCUACCAUGGCGACGAUGCUUAACUGGUCUGAGAGGAUGAUCAGUCACACUGGAACUGAGACACGGUCCAGACUCCUACGGGAGGCAGCAGUGGGGAAUAUUGCGCAAUGGGCGAAAGCCUGACGCAGCAAUGCCGCGUGAGUGAGGAAGGCCUUCGGGUUGUAAAGCUCUGUCAUAUGGAAAGAAUGGUCAUUGUUCUAACAGGGCAGUGAUAUGACGGUACCAUAAAAGGAAGCACCGGCUAACUUCGUGCCAGCAGCCGCGGUAAUACGAAGGGUGCAAGCGUUGUUCGGAUUUAUUGGGCGUAAAGCGCGCGCAGGCGGACUAUAUAGCCAGAUGUGAAAUCUCGGGGCUCAACCCCGAAACUGCGUCUGGAACUGGUAGUCUAGAAUCUUGGAGGGGGAAGCGGAAUUUCGCAUGUAGGGGUAAAAUCCGUAGAGAUGCGAAGGAACACCAGAGCCGAAGGGGGCUUCCUGGCCAAGUAUUGACGCUGAGGCGCGAAAGCGUGGGGAGCAAACAGGAUUAGAUACCCUGGUAGUCCACGCCGUAAACGAUGUGCACAUGAUAUUGGAGAUUAGA